GACGAACGCUGGCGGCGUGCUUAACACAUGCAAGUCGAACGGAAAGGCCCUGCUUUUGUGGGGUGCUCGAGUGGCGAACGGGUGAGUAACACGUGAGUAACCUGCCCUUGACUUUGGGAUAACUUCAGGAAACUGGGGCUAAUACCGGAUAGGAGCUCCUGCUGCAUGGGGGGGGUUGGAAAGUUUCGGCGGUUGGGGAUGGACUCGCGGCUUAUCGGCUUGUUGGUGGGGUAGUGGCUUUCCAAGGCUUUGACGGGUAGCCGGCCUGGGAGGGUGACCGGCCACAUUGGGACUGAGAUACGGCCCAGACUCCUACGGGAGGCAGCAGUGGGGAAUAUUGCACAAUGGGCGGAAGCCUGAUGCAGCAACGCCGCGUGCGGGAUGACGGCCUUCGGGUUGUAAACCGCUUUCGCCUGUGACGAAGCGUGAGUGACGGUAAUGGGUAAAGAAGCACCGGCUAACUACGUG
RNAcentral lists this ribosomal RNA (468 nucleotides) under uncultured bacterium. RNAcentral's name for it is "partial 16S ribosomal RNA". It matches the Rfam family "Bacterial small subunit ribosomal RNA", at positions 28 to 507 of the family's 1533-position model. The record is from RNAcentral.